ACGCUGGCGGCGUGCCUAACACAUGCAAGUCGAGCGAGGGUUUGCUCAGUAUUGAGUAUUCUAAGAUUAGAAUGUUCAAUUCUGAGCAAAACCAAGCGGCGGACGGGUGAGUAACGCGUGGGUAACCUGCCCUAUACACAUGGAUAACAUACUGAAAAGUUUACUAAUACAUGAUAAUAUAUAUUUGCGGCAUCGCAGAUAUAUCAAAGUGUUAGCGGUAUAGGAUGGACCCGCGUCUGAUUAGCUAGUUGGUGAGAUAACUGCCCACCAAGGCGACGAUCAGUAGCCGACCUGAGAGGGUGAUCGGCCACAUUGGAACUGAGACACGGUCCAAACUCCUACGGGAGGCAGCAGUGGGGAAUAUUGCACAAUGGGCGAAAGCCUGAUGCAGCAACGCCGCGUGAACGAUGAAGGUCUUCGGAUCGUAAAGUUCUGUUGCAGGGGAAGAUAAUGACGGUACCCUGUGAGGAAGCCCCGGCUAACUACGUGCCAGCAGCCGCGGUAAUACGUAGGGGGCUAGCGUUAUCCGGAUUUACUGGGCGUAAAGGGUGCGUAGGUGGUCCUUCAAGUCGGUGGUUAAAGGCUACGGCUCAACCGUAGUAAGCCGCCGAAACUGGAGGACUUGAGUGCAGGAGAGGAAAGUGGAAUUCCCAGUGUAGCGGUGAAAUGCGUAGAUAUUGGGAGGAACACCAGUAGCGAAGGCGGCUUUCUGGACUGCAACUGACACUGAGGCACGAAAGCGUGGGUAGCAAACAGGAUUAGAUACCCUGGUAGUCCACGCUGUAAACGAUGAGUACUAGGUGUCGGGGGUUACCCCCCUCGGUGCCGCAGCUAACGCAUUAAGUACUCCGCCUGGGGAGUACGCACGCAAGUGUGAAACUCAAAGGGAUUGACGGGGACCCGCACAAGU
Molecule: ribosomal RNA, 910 nt
Filed under: uncultured bacterium
Lineage: Bacteria
Description: bacterial SSU rRNA
Rfam family: Bacterial small subunit ribosomal RNA
Source: RNAcentral